Molecule: ribosomal RNA, 301 nt
Filed under: uncultured bacterium
Lineage: Bacteria
Description: partial 16S ribosomal RNA
Rfam family: Bacterial small subunit ribosomal RNA
Source: RNAcentral
CAGUCGCCACGGUAAUACGAAGGGGGCUAGCGUUGCUCGGAAUCACUGGGCGUAAAGGGUGCGUAGGCGGGUCUUUAAGUCAGGGGUGAAAUCCUGGAGCUCAACUCCAGAACUGCCUUUGAUACUGAAGAUCUUGAGUUUGGGAGAGGUGAGUGGAACUGCGAGUGUAGAGGUGAAAUUCGUAGAUAUUCGCAAGAACACCAGUGGCGAAGGCGGCUCACUGGCCCGAUACUGACGCUGAGGCACGAAAGCGUGGGGAGCAAACAGGAUUAGAUACCCCCGUAGUCCCUGUCUCUUAUAC